CUGGUUGAUCCUGCCAGAGGUUACUGCUAUCGAGGUUCGACUAAGCCAUGCGAGUCGAAUGUAGCAAUACAUGGCGAACUGCUCAGUAACACGUGGACAACCUGCCCUUAGGUUGGGUAUAAACCCGGGAAACUGGGUAUAAUACCCGAUAGGUCUCGAUUGCUGGAAUGCAUCGAGAUUUAAAGCUCCGGCGCCUAAGGAUGGGUCUGCGGCCUAUCAGGUAGUAGUGGGUGUAGCGUACCUACUAGCCUACGACGGGUACGGGUUGUGAGAGCAAGAGCCCGGAGAUGGAUUCUGAGACACGAAUCCAGGCCCUACGGGGUGCAGCAGGCGCGAAAACUUUACAAUGCUGGCAACAGCGAUAAGGGAACCUCGAGUGCCAGGUUACAAAUCUGGCUGUCGAGAUGCCUAAAAAGCAUUUCAUAGCAAGGGCCGGGCAAGACCGGUGCCAGCCGCCGCGGUAACACCGGCGGCUCGAGUGGUAACCGUUAUUAUUGGGUCUAAAGGGUCUGUAGCCGGCCGGAUAAGUCUCUUGAGAAAUCUGGCAGCUUAACUGUCAGGCUUUCAGGAGAUACUGUCUGGCUCGAGGCCGGGAGAGGUGAGAGGUACUUCAGGGGUAGGGGUGAAAUCUUGUAAUCCUUGAAGGACCACCAGUGGCGAAGGCGUCUCACCAGAACGGACCUGACGGCAAGGGACGAAAGCUAGGGGCACGAACCGGAUUAGAUACCCGGGUAGUCCUAGCCGUAAACGAUACUCGCUAGGUGUCGGCCACGGUGCGACCGUUGUCGGUGCCGUAGGGAAGCCGUGAAGCGAGCCACCUGGGAAGUACGGCCGCAAGGCUGAAACUUAAAGGAAUUGGCGGGGGAGCACCACAACGGGUGGAGCUUGCGGUUUAAUUGGAUUCAACGCCGGGA
RNAcentral lists this ribosomal RNA (914 nucleotides) under uncultured archaeon. RNAcentral describes it as "bacterial SSU rRNA". It matches the Rfam family "Archaeal small subunit ribosomal RNA", at positions 4 to 923 of the family's 1478-position model. The record is from RNAcentral.